UACGUAGGGGGCAAGCGUUGUCCGGAUUUAUUGGGCGUAAAGCGCUCGCAGGUGGUUCGUCGCGUCGUGCGUGAAAGACCCCGGCUCAACUGGGGGGCGUCGUGCGAAACGGGCGGACUGGAGGCCAGUAGGGGGAUGCGGAAUUCCGGGUGUAGUGGUGGAAUGCGUAGAGAUCCGGAGGAACACCAGCGGCGAAGGCGGCAUCCUGGACUGGUCCUGACACUCAUGAGCGAAAGCGUGGGGAGCGAUCAGG
RNAcentral lists this ribosomal RNA (253 nucleotides) under uncultured bacterium. RNAcentral's name for it is "partial 16S ribosomal RNA". It matches the Rfam family "Bacterial small subunit ribosomal RNA", at positions 524 to 776 of the family's 1533-position model. The record is from RNAcentral.